Non-coding RNA from Ictidomys tridecemlineatus (thirteen-lined ground squirrel), 1562 nucleotides. The record is from RefSeq and is a predicted model, not a curated record. Lineage: Eukaryota; Metazoa; Chordata; Mammalia; Rodentia; Sciuridae.
UUACAUUGAGUCUCAAUUCAAUAUAACCACAUAGCAUGCUAAGAUUUUAUCUCUACAAUAAAUAAUAGAUUAAGCCAUCUCUGGGUAAAGAACGAAGGAUCAAAUUGGCUCUCUUCUUCUGAAGUGAUUAAGGAUCAGCAUAAUGACUAGAGAGCAUGGACGGGGAGGUCCAAGCAGAAGGUCUAAUUCCUCUGUCCAGGAACAGAAACAUACUUCAAAAGAAGGAGCAACAUAAAGAACCCUUAUAAAAGUCCUCAAGAAAUAAAGGAAGAAAAAACUUUGCCAUCUGGGCUAUGGGGAAAGAGCUGCAAGAGCUGCCAAAUGUACUUUAAUGGUCAUUGGUUGGAAACCUGGUCUCCCAUAUAAAGGGAAAGGAUUCCGGAACUUAUGCAGCACACAGAUGGUGAAGUAAUUUGCAUCAAUACAGCAAUUUUCCCAUCAGAGGAAGACCAGAAGUGCAACGAGGACAGUGAAAUUCAUCAAGUAAUAUCUAACAAAUGAAGAACAAAGUCUCCAAAAUAUAAAGCAACCUGUUCAGAAAGAGAGAGGAAAAGCCAAGGCUGGGCUCCAGCAUCAACAGGAGUCACAUGGAACAUGACCACAAUAUAUAACUUCUAAAUCGGUUUAAGGAGGGUCCACUUUAUCCAUGGAUCUUCUAAUGAGGAAGCAGUGUGGGACUGUAGGACAAACAGGAUACUGAUACAUUGAAGCCUCUCUCAAUUGAAUUCUACAUUUAAUACCUAGAAAGGACUGAUGGAAACACAAUUAAGGGGAGACAACCAACUUCUCCUCUUCUGAUGAUCCUGGGGCCCCCAUCCUUUUGUGUCAAGCACAAAGAAAAAGGAGAGAGAGGGAGAGACAGAGACAAAGAAGCAGCCCAUGUAACCAAGCGCUGAACAUGAUUUAAACAACCAACUUAGUAAACAUCAAUCUUAGGAUGUGUUAUGUGAAAUGGAGUCAUACUCCAAAAGAAAUGUUGGCUACAUUUAAAAGAUCACUUUGUCUAAAGAAAAUGCCAAGUUGAAUUUCCAUGCAGUAAGUCAUCUUUCUACAAGAAGCUGACAAGACAAAAGCAACAAAGUGAAAAGGUGAACAAUGGUUCAUUUGAAAAAAAGUAACAGCAUUAUAAUCUUUUUUUUUUUUUAAGGGUCUGGUUCCCUUGUUUUAGAUUAUUUGUCAAGGAUCAAUGUGGCUCUGAGAAGAGACUUGUGUGACUUGCUGUGUUACUAUGUGUAAAUCACUUUUCCUCCCUGAACCUCAGUUUUCAUCUAUGUAAUAUAGGGGAUUGACCCAAAUGACUUUUGGGUUAACUUUCAGCAUGAAUUUGCUAUGAUGGGUGUCCCUGCAGCCACAGGGCAACCUCUUAACACACAUGCAAGUUGUAAGGACAGUUAGAGCUUGAAGGGUCGCAGGGUCUGGCGCUAGUUUGUCAAAAUGCAGCCAUUGGAAAGGUAUGCGAUGCGAAAACAUUUUAGAAUCCUUGGAGUUACACUUCCUCCCUAAGGUUCCACAGCUAUUUUCUGAGAAAAAUAAAGAGAAGUCCAGGAAUGGCAGUCAAAAUC